Non-coding RNA from Ixodes scapularis (black-legged tick), 73 nucleotides. NCBI's taxonomy places the organism in Eukaryota, Metazoa, Arthropoda, Arachnida, Ixodida, Ixodidae. The record is from Rfam.
UCCAGGUUAGCUCAAUUGGUAAAGUGCUGGACUGGAAAUGGAGACGUCCCUGGUUCAAUACCAGGACCAGGCG